GUCGUAUUGUCGCUACGUAUCAAUUCGUAUAUAUAAUUCGAUGUUACUUUUUUAAUAAAAAUAUCGACAAGUUCAUGAUAGUUUGAACCGAUACAGCCACUACAAAGUCUCAGAGACAUUUCAAGAUUUCUCUCCUCAGUCAUGGAUUAAAGAACAGAAAUUCACUAUGUAAUUGCCACAAUAGUCAGGGCUUUCCCGAGUCUUGCUGUGCUAUACUCUCCUGUUUGAACAGAUAUUUGACCAUAAAAAAAUAAAACUGGUUCUUGUAAUUUCCUGCGACAGUCAGAUAUCUCUACUAGAGGAAUCUACUGCUGUGAAUACUUGUAAAGAGGUCUCACACUCAAGAAAGGUUUUAUAGUUCUGCAAGAGAUUUUGAAUCUUUUGGCCAAGCUUAAAAAGACGGCAAAAAGCUGAAAAGAGAAGCGAAGUUGCUACAGGAAA
Uloborus diversus is the source of this 441-nucleotide long non-coding RNA. RefSeq lists it as uncharacterized. NCBI's taxonomy places the organism in Eukaryota, Metazoa, Arthropoda, Arachnida, Araneae, Uloboridae. The transcript is spliced from 4 exons. The record is from RefSeq and is a predicted model, not a curated record.